GGGUUAGUAGGUUGGUCAUGCCUCUGGUAUGUACUGAUCUCACUGAUUCCUCCUUCCUGAUGAGCCGUAAUGCCAUUAAUUUGGUGUUGCGGGGAAUUUGGACUGUUACUUUGAAAAAAUUAGAGUGUUCAAAGCAGGCCUUUGCUCGAAUACAUUAGCAUGGAAUAAUAGAAUAGGACGUGCGGUUCUAUUUUGUUGGUUUCUAGAGUCGCCGUA
This 216-nucleotide ribosomal RNA is filed under the name Campeiostachys nutans. Its description in RNAcentral is "Elymus nutans partial small subunit ribosomal RNA". It matches the Rfam family "Eukaryotic small subunit ribosomal RNA", at positions 644 to 864 of the family's 1831-position model. Lineage: Eukaryota; Viridiplantae; Streptophyta; Magnoliopsida; Poales; Poaceae. The record is from RNAcentral.